GAUGAACGCUGGCGGCGUGCCUAAUACAUGCAAGUCGAGCGAACAGACGAGGAGCUUGCUCCUCUGACGUUAGCGGCGGACGGGUGAGUAACACGUGGAUAACCUACCUAUAAGACUGGGAUAACUUCGGGAAACCGGAGCUAAUACCGGAUAACAUGUUGAACCGAAUGGUUCAACAGUGAAAGACGGUCUUGCUGUCACUUAUAGAUGGAUCCGCGCCGCAUUAGCUAGUUGGUAAGGUAACGGCUUACCAAGGCAACGAUGCGUAGCCGACCUGAGAGGGUGAUCGGCCACACUGGAACUGAGACACGGUCCAGACUCCUACGGGAGGCAGCAGUAGGGAAUCUUCCGCAAUGGGCGAAAGCCUGACGGAGCAACGCCGCGUGAGUGAAGAAGGUCUUCGGAUCGUAAAACUCUGUUAUUAGGGAAGAACAAAUGUGUAAGUAACUAUGCACGUCUUGACGGUACCUAAUCAGAAAGCCACGGCUAACUACGUG
RNAcentral lists this ribosomal RNA (497 nucleotides) under uncultured bacterium. RNAcentral describes it as "partial 16S ribosomal RNA". It matches the Rfam family "Bacterial small subunit ribosomal RNA", at positions 28 to 507 of the family's 1533-position model. The record is from RNAcentral.